Long non-coding RNA from Formica exsecta, 1574 nucleotides. RefSeq lists it as uncharacterized. NCBI's taxonomy places the organism in Eukaryota, Metazoa, Arthropoda, Insecta, Hymenoptera, Formicidae. The record is from RefSeq and is a predicted model, not a curated record. The transcript is spliced from 2 exons.
CAGAUGCUGCAUCAAGGUCACCUGCUUAUCGUCCAUCACAGCCUCCUCCACUUGCGUCUUUAUCAAAUUAGCCUGCAGAGUUUCCUGUAAUUGUCGCAAUUUACCGUCCGAUUUCUGCUUAAAAGCAAAUACAGCAAGCAGAUGUAAGUUUUUCUUGAGCCACCAGAUGUGAAUGCGUCUCGGUUAGAAGGGGUGAAUAUACUUGCGAAGCUUUUUCCUCAUCUGAUGUAAUGUGUGGCGCAGAAUGUAAAGAAGAGUAUCUAUGAAUGCACGGCUCGCUCCAUCUCGAGUGAAAAUUUUGUUCGCGAGAUUGCGACAUAUUUCAUAUGUCUUACUUGAGCUUAUCUCUAGAAUAAGCAUUAUGACUCUACUAAUGUAAUAAAAAAAUUAACGAGUUGUGUGUAAUGUGUUAAAAAAAUCAGAUUUGGAAUCGCUCACUUAUCGCCUCAUCAGCCAUAUCUCUCUAACAAUAAGUAGAUUUACAUCGUCAAUAUAACACGGCUGUUCUGCGAUCUAGAAAGAUGCAGUCUAAAGGUUGACACGACAUCGCAUGCGUGUUUUUACUUGUUGGUCGUAUUUUUUUCAAAAUCUCUCGGGAUGUUGAUCGAUGGAUUCUUAGGAACGAUAUAUUUAUUAUGGGCUAAAAAAUCACGUUCUGAACGUUCACGCGCUGUAUAUAUAUAUUACAAACCAGUAGUUAUAUAUUAUAUAAUUAUAUCUGUGUAUUAAGGUUAUAAAGAUACGACUGACUGUGUUUCCAUGAAGUAAAACAACAAGACGUAAAAAUGACAAAUGACAUAACGAUCGGUUGGCGGUUGCUCCACUGCUACAUUAAAUCUGCGACUUUUACCGCGAUCUUUUUGGCAAACUUUCGAUACAGAUUACAUUAUGAGCGCAUAAAAGUCUUACCAUCUGCAUAUUAACACAAUAUAACAGAAUUUAUUACAUGUUAUAUUAAUACAUGCAUAAAAAAUGUAUACCUAUGUGUAUGGCUCCAAAACUUUCGUGUUUGAUAUUUUAUAUUAAACCUUUGGAUUAUAUUAGGUAUUUGUAUAUAUUUUAUCAAAAAUUUCCGACGGAUAAUUAGUAAGAGAAUUAUUUUUGUUUUUUUUACAUACGUUCUUAAUAUUUAAAUGCACAUCUCCCACUUGGUAUAAACACUUUGACUGUAUAAUCACAUAAUUAAUAUUGCACAUAUAAUUAAAUUGCAAGUUCAAAGAAUAAAUAAUCCAUUCAAGAUCUUUUUCGAAUAAAAAUUCCGUAUAUAUAGAUUUUUUCUCUUGAAUCUCAUGAUAUUUUUUAACUUAAUUUUUUACCAUGUGGGAAAACUCGAUAAACCAUGAAAUCUUAUUAAUAGUUUCUAUUAAAUUAAUUAUUAGUGUGACAAUGGAUCAAUCCUCGAAAGUGGCCUUUCUUACAAAAGGAACAAUCCAACUUUCCUAUAUUCUCCGCGCGUUCUAUAGCAUAAUAAAAUAAACAGACACACGAUAUAUCAAGUAGAAGCUGAAAUUAAUAUUCUUUCUUAACGCUACUUUGUAAGCAUAUAUAUAUAUAUAUAUAUAUAUAUAUAUAUA